GUGGUCAUAGCUCAGCAGGUAGAGCUCUGGAUUGUGAUUCCAGCGGUCAUGGGUUCAAACCCCAUUGACCACCCA
This 75-nucleotide transfer RNA is filed under the name Buchnera aphidicola (Cinara curtihirsuta). RNAcentral's name for it is "transfer RNA Histidine". It matches the Rfam family "tRNA". From Rfam's summary of the family: Transfer RNA (tRNA) molecules are approximately 80 nucleotides in length. Their secondary structure includes four short double-helical elements and three loops (D, anti-codon, and T loops). Further hydrogen bonds mediate the characteristic L-shaped molecular structure. tRNAs have two regions of fundamental functional importance: the anti-codon, which is responsible for specific mRNA codon recognition, and the 3' end, to which the tRNAs corresponding amino acid is attached (by aminoacyl-tRNA synthetases). tRNAs cope with the degeneracy of the genetic code in two manners: having more than one tRNA (with a specific anti-codon) for a particular amino acid; and 'wobble' base-pairing, i.e. permitting non-standard base-pairing at the 3rd anti-codon position. The record is from RNAcentral. Lineage: Bacteria; Pseudomonadati; Pseudomonadota; Gammaproteobacteria; Enterobacterales; Erwiniaceae.